RNAcentral lists this ribosomal RNA (294 nucleotides) under uncultured bacterium. RNAcentral describes it as "partial 16S ribosomal RNA". It matches the Rfam family "Bacterial small subunit ribosomal RNA", at positions 775 to 1067 of the family's 1533-position model. The record is from RNAcentral.
GGAUUAGAUACCCUGGUAGUCCACGCCCUAAACGAUGUGUGCUAGACGUCGGGGGGCUUGCCCUUCGGUGUCGGAGCUAACGUGUUAAGCACACCGCCUGGGGAGUACGGUCGCAAGAUUAAAACUCAAAGGAAUUGACGGGGGCCCGCACAAGCGGUGGAGCAUGUGGUUUAAUUCGACGCAACGCGCAGAACCUUACCAGCCCUUGACAUGAUGGUUACGGUUCCGAGAGAUCGGUUCUUCAGUUCGGCUGGACCAUCACAGGUGCUGCAUGGCUGUCGUCAGCUCGUGCCG